UGCAAGUCGAGGGGCAGCAUUGGAGUAGCAAUACUUCAGAUGGCGACCGGCGCACGGGUGAGUAACACGUAUCCAACCUGCCGCUUACUCGGGGAUAGCCUUUCGAAAGAAAGAUUAAUACCCGAUGGUAUAAAGAGUUCGCAUGUUCUCUCUAUUAAAGAAUUUCGGUAAGCGAUGGGGAUGCGUUCCAUUAGAUAGUUGGCGGGGUAACGGCCCACCAAGUCUACGAUGGAUAGGGGUUCUGAGAGGAAGGUCCCCCACAUUGGAACUGAGACACGGUCCAAACUCCUACGGGAGGCAGCAGUGAGGAAUAUUGGUCAAUGGACGAGAGUCUGAACCAGCCAAGUAGCGUGAAGGAUGACUGCCCUAUGGGUUGUAAACUUCUUUUAUAAGGGAAUAAAGUGAGGGACGUGUCCCUUUUUGUAUGUACCUUAUGAAUAAGGAUCGGCUAACUCCGUGCCAGCAGCCGCGGUAAUACGGAGGAUCCAAGCGUUAUCCGGAUUUAUUGGGUUUAAAGGGAGCGUAGGUUGACAUAUAAGUCAGCUGUGAAAGUUUACGGCUCAACCGUGAAAUUGCAGUUGAUACUGUAUGUCUUGAGUGUACAAGAGGUGGGCGGAAUUCGUGGUGUAGCGGUGAAAUGCUUAGAUAUCACGAAGAACUCCAAUUGCGAAGGCAGCUCACUGGGGUACAACUGACACUGAGGCUCGAAGGUGUGGGUAUCAAACAGGAUUAGAUACCCUGGUAGUCCACACAGUAAACGAUGAAUACUCGCUGUUUGCGAUAUACAGUAAGCGGCCAAGCGAAAGCAUUAAGUAUUCCACCUGGGGAGUACGCCGGCAACGGUGAAACUCAAAGGAAUUGACGGGGGCCCGCACAAGCGGAGGAACAUGUGGUUUAAUUCGAUGAUACGCGAGGAACCUUACCCGGGCUUGAAUUGCAGAGGAACAUAGUUGAAAGAUUAUGGCCGCAAGGUCUCUGUGAAGGUGCUGCAUGGUUGUCGUCAGCUCGUGCCGUGAGGUGUCGGCUUAAGUGCCAUAACGAGCGCAACCCUUAUCAUUAGUUACUAACAGGUCAUGCUGAGGACUCUAGUGAGACUGCCGUCGUAAGAUGUGAGGAAGGUGG
RNAcentral lists this ribosomal RNA (1122 nucleotides) under uncultured Bacteroides sp. Its description in RNAcentral is "bacterial SSU rRNA". It matches the Rfam family "Bacterial small subunit ribosomal RNA", at positions 56 to 1176 of the family's 1533-position model. Lineage: Bacteria; Pseudomonadati; Bacteroidota; Bacteroidia; Bacteroidales; Bacteroidaceae. The record is from RNAcentral.